UGGUACUUUUUAAUCGGCUUGUCUUUUUUUAUUGUUGGCUGUAUUUUAUAGUACUGUUUUAUGUUUUUUAUCUCUAUUAUUGUGCGACUGUUCAGCACUUUGGUCAGCCGUAUGGCUGUGUUUUUAAAGUGUUAUAUAAAUAAAGGUAAAAUGAACCUUUAUGCAGUUAAUGAAAAGUCACUCAGACCCCCACAGACUCGGGAGACCAGAUCCCAACUUGCCAAAUGUGGGACAGAGACACUCGAUGUGGGACAACGUGAAGUUCCAAUGUAAUGAGAAAAAAAACACACGUAUAUUCUGCCUUUUAGCCCUAACACCACUGAUACUAAUACAUCUAAUAAUAUUCUUAUUAUUUAAUAUAUUUCUUGUACAUAUUUUAUUUGAACUCAACAUGAAGAAGCAAACAGCAACAGCGUUACUGUUCCACACUUCCUCUCACGGUACACAACAUGACUCUGUAGUGGCUCUGAUCAUUUUAAUAACACAGAUCGGCCCACAAUAAUAAAACAUGCAGGUUUAAGCAGCUUUUCACAGUUUUCAUUCAAUGUUUUCCACAACAGAACGACAGUAAAAGUACCAGUAAUAUUUUUAGAUCCAUUCAAGUUUGUUUUUCAUUCAUUUCCCACUAAAAUCAGCAUCUCAUUUAAAAAAUAUCCAAACUUUUUUGCUGUUUUUUUUUUUCAUAAUUCAGAAACAAAACAUUUUUUAACCAUGACAAUGAAACUCUUCUAGAUUUUAGGUGAGAGAAUAAAUAAACAUCCGAUUCUAAUCUCUAAAAAAAUCAGAUCUGAUCUGAUAAAAGUUUCUCAGAGUUACUUUCUGCCUCAAAUGUCUGAGAAUACGUGAUGAAAGCUUCCAUCUAGUCUCAUUAUUUCUUCACUGUGCUUUAAGGGCUCAGCGUGUAGCAGGAAUCUGAACCCGCAGCACCGUGUCUGUGUUAGAGCCUCCAUUGUGUUUAUCAUGGACCUGUCUAAUUACUGGAAAAGCUGCUUUUCACCUCUUCAUGUCAGACUCCGCACCGAGACAUGAAGAAUGACUCAGAAACAACAAAGACUCUGUCGAGUGUCUCUGAACACGUUUAAUUCACGAGUUUACAACAUUUUCUCCUCCGUGCUCGCUCACGCGUGUUUUGGUGGUUCGGGCGUGCUCCACGCACGCUCCGGAUCUGCGUUAAAGUCCCGCCUCCGUUUGAUCGACAGCAACAGGCAGAUUUUUCCACCAUUUCUCUUAUAAGAUUGAAACUCGAACCAGGAAACUGUCAGUAAUGCGGGACAUGAGUCUUAAUUUGCGGGACGCGUGAAGAGUCGUGAAAAUGCAGGACAUCUGGUCACCCUACCCACACGUCUUGGCCAGAUUUCUGCAUUUGCAGCUUCUGAGUGCCGGUCCGGUCUGUUGGAUUUAGGAAGCAAAACUGGAGCUGAACUACCUGGGGCGGUCUGCUUCCAGCACAUUUUGUCAUGUAGGGAUGAUUCCCUCCUGCAGACACUAAGGAAGGCUGGGGAGACAUUUCAGCUGUUAGAUUAAAGUGUUUAAAAGGUGUUAAAAACAAGCCAAACGCACCUUGUGUCCCUUUAAUAAAACAAUUCAACUGUAAUUUUUAUUAAACAAUGAUUUUCCGAAUCAGCAUUAAUGACCUUUAUUAAAAAAUGACGAAUGUCUAAUAAAUAAACUCAACAGUCUUCUUAUUUUUGCUCUAAUGUCCUGACGAUGUGAAGAGCUUGUAUCUGUCACAAGCAGACCCAUACCGCCCCAUCCUCUUUGUUUCUUCUUUAGAAAACUAAAACGCUUCCUGCCACACAGAAGGAAUGGAAUGCAGCCUUAGCCUAAGAAACAAACACGUUCAAUGUGUCUGAAUGAGGCUGAAGGGCUCCCCGUGGCCGUGCUAAAUCAUUUUAGAAACGUGAAACUAAUUAUAUUUCAGCGCCAAAGCCACAGUUCUCAUUACUUUUCUAUUACAGUCCCUUCAUGCUGACUUCUAAGAACAUUUUGGACGCGCUAACGAGGAACGCACUUGGACAGGAAAUGAAACGAUGACUAGAACAAGUGGAGAAGGACAGCUUGGACUUUUCUCGGCUCAGAUUCAUCAUUAAGGGAAUGUUUGACACCUGUUAGCUGAGAUCGGGUUUCACGCCGAUACCAGCAGUUUGCUAAACAACCAGGAAAUGGAAAAGUAGCAACAGGAAGGAAAAGGAGUAGCCCGCCUUAAACGGAAGGCAACGAACGCCACGCAGCAGAGCGUUUAAGGGCGCCGCGCUUGCUCUGAUGGCUGCUGUAACGUUGGUGUCUUUGCUCUUACCUCUUCGCCUUCCGACGCUCUCAGUUUCAGCCUCACCAGCUCCUGACCUUGGUCAGUCUGAUUUCAUCUGUCAGAGCGGUUUGAACACAGAGCGCCCGUUCAGACGUUGACUUCUGGACAUUUUAAAGAUGGCGUUCAGCUCCGUCAUCACGUGGACGCGAACUCGCUCAGUCUGUGCGAGCAGAUCUCUCCCCUUCAUCCCUGAAAUGCGAAGGGGCACGGCGGCUCUGGGCGUCAGGGAGCCGUUUCCGUCUGCCAGUCACUCUCCGAGCGCAGCUGUCGGCGUUACACGGAAUAACUGUCAGACUUGUAUUUUCCCAGGGACUUCCUCUGUUCCGUGAGUCAGAUGAAAUUAACCGAGACGUCCAGAACAGUGGCUUGGCCCAGAUUUUUUUGGACCGUAGGAAACAGAACCACCCUCCCUUUCUCGGCCCAAAGACUCCAAGUCGUGGUUGUAAACUCGUGACGCGGCGGUGCUUUUAAGUGGAGCUGGACAAAUUGUCUUUUACUUGGACAAGACUUGGAUUUUGGAAGAUUUAUGAGCUGGAUGUAUGCAGAGCACUGAGCUGGCAGCUCACUGCGUUGCUUCCCCACUGAAAGAGGGAUUUCUGCUGCCUGCAGCCGUUCCCAAACCGUUUCGGAUGCGUUCCUGAGCUGCGAGCCUCCCACCAGCAGAACUAAAGUGACCACUUCAUUGUGAGAAGAUGAGGGAUGGCAUUUAUGGCAUGUCUGCACAAGGUCAAGCACCAGCGCAUGCCUUUGCUCACACAAACUUUUCCCAUCCACUUGGAGAAGAUCCCACUUCUUUGGAAGACGUUUGGAAUGCUCCAUCACAGAAACCUGAGGUGGAUUUUUUCCAGUCGCGCCGUCCGAUUUGAUUUUCAAACCUCCUGAUUUGCAUUUGAGUGCACGCUGCGAUUCAAAUAAAACCUUCAUGACCUGUCGAGA
Nothobranchius furzeri (turquoise killifish) is the source of this 3244-nucleotide non-coding RNA. Lineage: Eukaryota; Metazoa; Chordata; Actinopteri; Cyprinodontiformes; Nothobranchiidae. The record is from RefSeq and is a predicted model, not a curated record.